CCUGUCUGAACAUGGGGGGACCAUCCUCCAAGGCUAAAUACUCCUGACUGACCGAUAGUGAACCAGUACCGUGAGGGAAAGGCGAAAAGAACCCCUGUGAGGGGAGUGAAAUAGAACCUGAAACCGUGUACGUACAAGCAGUAGGAGCACCUUCGUGGUGUGACUGCGUACCUUUUGUAUAAUGGGUCAGCGACUUAAUUUUAGUAGCAAGGUUAACCGUAUAGGGGAGCCGUAGGGAAACCGAGUCUUAACUGGGCGUACAGUUGCUAGGAUUAGACCCGAAACCAGGUGAUCUAGCCAUGGGCAG
Molecule: ribosomal RNA, 307 nt
Filed under: Photobacterium alginatilyticum
Lineage: Bacteria; Pseudomonadati; Pseudomonadota; Gammaproteobacteria; Vibrionales; Vibrionaceae
Description: partial 23S ribosomal RNA
Rfam family: Bacterial large subunit ribosomal RNA
Source: RNAcentral